This 290-nucleotide long non-coding RNA is filed under the name Phoenix dactylifera (date palm). Its description in RNAcentral is "long non-coding RNA (PDAC_LNC017518)". The record is from RNAcentral. Lineage: Eukaryota; Viridiplantae; Streptophyta; Magnoliopsida; Arecales; Arecaceae.
GAAGCCUGAGGCCAGGCUGGGCCCUGGUCCGAGCCCAGUGUUCUUAAAACCAAAACUAACUGGGCCUGAAGAGCUCAAAUUUUAAUAUAGGGACUAUAUUGAAUAUAGUUUGAGGCUAGGUCCUCUUUAAAUUAAUUAGAACUGAUAACGUAUAAUUAUAAAUUAAUCAAUAGUAUUUUUGGGCCAGAAUAUAAGUGGGCUCAGUAAUUGAAUCAGGCCAAGAGCCUGAUCCAGAACCCAAUUAAACAUCGGGCCUGAAUGCAAAUGGGCCCAUACCUGAACCAGGGGGC